Molecule: ribosomal RNA, 438 nt
Filed under: uncultured bacterium
Lineage: Bacteria
Description: partial 16S ribosomal RNA
Rfam family: Bacterial small subunit ribosomal RNA
Source: RNAcentral
CUACGGGGCGCUGCAGUGAGGAAUAUUGCACAAUGGGGGGAACCCUGAUGCAGCAACGCCGCGUGGAGGAUGACGCAUUUCGGUGUGUAAACUCCUUUUAUAUGUCAAGAAAAUGACGGUAGCAUAUGAAUAAGCCCCGGCUAACUCCGUGCCAGCAGCCGCGGUAAUACGGAGGGUGCAAGCGUUACUCGGAAUCACUGGGCGUAAAGGACGCGUAGGCGGGUUGGAAAGUCAGGUGUGAAAUCCUACAGCUUAACUGUAGAACUGCACUUGAAACUUCUAAUCUAGAGUAUGGGAGGGGGAGAUGGAAUUAGUGGUGUAGGGGUAAAAUCCGUAGAUAUCACUAGGAAUACCUAAAGCGAAGGCGAUCUCCUGGAACAUUACUGACGCUAAGGCGUGAAAGCGUGGGGAGCAAACAGGAUUAGUACCCCUGUAGUC